AGCUGGUAAGCACAAACUCAGUGGUUUAAAACAACGUGAAUUCACCAUCUUACAGUCCUGGAGGUCAGAAGGCAGACUUGGUCUCACUGGUUAAAGCUGAGGUGUGUGCAGGGCUGGUCUCUCGUGGAGGCUCUGAGUCUGUUCCUGCCUUUCCAGGGUCCCAGAGGCAAUCGUGUCCUCGGCUGGAGGCCUGGCCUCAUCUUCAGAGUCAGCAGCGCCCACACUUCUGACCCUUCUUCUGUGCUUACUUCCCUGUGGCCACAUCUGACUGCUUUUAGAAACCUGCCCACCAAUAACCUCCAAUAACCUCCUGUCUCCACACCCAUAACCUUAAUGACGCCUCAAAGUCGCCUUUCCAUGUGAGGUGACACAGUCUCAGUUCUGGGAUCAGCACAUGGUCGCAGGUGGGGCCACUACCCUGCCCAGGAGGUCAGGCCCAUUCUGUUCCCUCCUGUCCUGACUUGCCCCCUGAAUUGGCUCACACAUGCCUGUGCCUCUAGGCUGGGACACCUUGUUCCUCCAGCUGCGGACCCCCUGCCAUUCAGGGCAGCCUCGGCUGUUGAGCUGAGAGUCUGGGUCAGAACGGGCAAGCCCCACCUUCCAGGCACAAAGGGGCCUCCUAUCCGGCAUGUCCUCUUCUCUCUAUACUGAACCUCAGAGGUUUCCUCUGCUGUGGACCUGCGAGGUAAAGGGGAUGCAGACAGAUGGAGACUAAUUCACUUCAGAAGGACCUGGUGAUUGUAUGACAAGUUCUGCAGCAGAAGAAGUACUGAGGGUGCCUUUUAGGGGAGCGAAAUCACGCCAUCAGUGCCGCUGUCUUCUGCGUUGACAUUUCAAGCAGUGUUCUUCCUGGUUAGGGUGAAAUUUGGCAGCUUUUAAAAGGCUACCAAUUUCUGAUUCAUACAUAUAUUCUUUUUAUGUAUAAAACCUCAUUCAGUAGAGCAGCAUGGAGCACAGCUGCAGUGCCUGUACAGAAAGCUGUCCUGAAAAGGCAGGAGGAGGAAGCAGAGGAAAGGCACAGCGCAAGGCAGCGUGACUUGGAGGCUGCAGGGCAGAAUGUGGGACGCGCUGAAGAAGGGCUGAACGGGGCUGAAUUCAACUUAAAGUAGAAGGAGAAAGAUAUCUUCUCAAAGACUCAAUGGGAAAGCACUGCAGUGGUGACAGGCUGUGGGCACCUUAGGAUCCACACAUUCUCCGUGGGCAGAGCGGUCUCUGAAUAACCAAGACUUCCCACCUGGCCGGCAGAUCUCGAUGACAAGCCUGAAACCUGCACAGAUGCUUGUUAAUUUCUGAAAGGGAGACAUGCAUUUUGUUAGAAGGGAGUGUAAGAGCAUCAGCAUUCUGAGAAGUGAUACUCUUUUGAGUCUAUUUGUCUUUAUGCUAAACUUUCAUUUAAUAUAAAUUCAUUUGUAUAUGUCAAAAAGUAAAAUAAAAGGUUACUUUUAGCUGAAUGUAUACCGUGU
Molecule: long non-coding RNA, 1463 nt
Filed under: Bos indicus x Bos taurus (hybrid cattle)
Lineage: Eukaryota; Metazoa; Chordata; Mammalia; Artiodactyla; Bovidae
Description: lncRNA (ENSBIXG00000004593.1)
Source: RNAcentral